RNAcentral lists this ribosomal RNA (802 nucleotides) under uncultured bacterium. Its description in RNAcentral is "bacterial SSU rRNA". It matches the Rfam family "Bacterial small subunit ribosomal RNA", at positions 545 to 1353 of the family's 1533-position model. The record is from RNAcentral.
CCGGAUUUAUUGGGUUUAAAGGGUGCGCAGGUGGUUUAAUAAGUCAGGGGUGAAAGUCUGGCGCUUAACGUUAGGGUUGCCAUUGAUACUGUUAGACUUGAAUAUGGAUGAGGUAGGCGGAAUGUGUAGUGUAGCGGUGAAAUGCUUAGAUAUUACACAGAACACCGAUUGCGAAGGCAGCUUACUAAUCCAUCAUUGACGCUGAGGCACGAAAGCGUGGGGAUCAAACAGGAUUAGAUACCCUGGGAGUCCACGCUGUAAACGAUGAUCACUCGCUGUUUGCGAUAUACAGUAAGCGGCUAAGCGAAAGCGUUAAGUGAUCCACCUGGGGAGUACGAUCGCAAGGUUGAAACUCAAAGGAAUUGACGGGGGCCCGCACAAGCGGAGGAACAUGUGGUUUAAUUCGAUGAUACGCUAGGAACCUUACCUGGGCUUAAAUGGGGAGUGACAGCUGCUGAAAGGUGGUUUUCUUCGGACACUCUUCAAGGUGCUGCAUGGUUGUCGUCAGCUCGUGCCGUGAGGUGUCGGGUUAAGUCCCAUAACGAGCGCAACCCUUACUGUUAGUUGCCAACGGGUAAAGCCGGGGACUCUAGCGGGACUGCCACCGUAAGGUGAGAGGAAGGUGGGGAUGACGUCAAAUCAGCACGGCCCUUAUGUCCAGGGCUACACACGUGUUACAAUGGCCGGUACAAAGGGCAGCUACACUGCGAAGUGAUGCUAAUCUCGAAAGCCGGUCCCAGUUCGGAUCGAAGUCUGCAACCCGACUUCGUGAAGUUGGAUUCGCUAGUAAUCGCGCAUCAGC